This is a long non-coding RNA of Equus asinus (donkey), 3043 nucleotides long. Lineage: Eukaryota; Metazoa; Chordata; Mammalia; Perissodactyla; Equidae. The record is from Ensembl.
CUUUUUCUGGGUGUGUCUGUGAGGGUGUUUCAGGAAAAGAUGAGCAUUUGAAUUAGAAGACUGAGUGGAGAAGAUAGCCCUCACCAGUGCAGGUGGGCAUCACCCAAUCGGUUGAGGGCCUAAAUUGAACGAACGCAUGGAGGAAGGAUGAAUCUGCUCUCUGCUUCAGCUGGGACAUCCAUCUUCUCCUGCCCUCAGACACCACUGCUCCUAUUCUGGGACCUUCUGACUCAGACCAGGGCUGCCACCGUUGGGCCCCCUGGUUCUCAGACAUUUAGACUGGGACUGGAGCUGCAUCACUGGCUUCCUGGGCCUCCAGCUUGCAGAUGGCAGAUCAUGGGACUUCUCAGCCUCCAUAAUCACGCAGGGGAAAGAGCAUGGACAUCAUAGUGAAAAAGAUCUGGUUUCGAAUCACGACUCCUACCUUGUCAAAUUUCCAAGACUCCUCCUCCAUCUGCAGAAUGGGGACAGUUGUGGUACCUACAGCAUCAGAUUGUGCAUCCUUGAAAUCAAGACACAUCUUAAAGUGGCUGUCAGAAAGACAUAAGCUGCAACAGGUUAUUGCUGUGCAUGCAGCAUCAAGACUUGCGGAAUGGGUGUUAACAGCUUGCAAAAAUCCUGGAGGCAGCAGUGUAGUAAGCACAGAAGACAAUAUUGUGUGGAAGAACUCAGAUUUUCACGAUGCUUGUGGAGAAGCAACACAGAGUCGUCAGAUUCUAAAUAGGAAGACUUUUGAGGAGCCCGGUAACCAGUCAAUUUUGCAUAUGAUUUCCUUUUUACAUAUGCACAAGCUUGCUAUACGAUAAAAAUUUUGGGCCUAAAUAAGUCUAAAAUAUUCCUUUCUUUAUGUAUAAAAUAAAUUUUGAAGUGGUAAGAAAGCCCUGCGUCAUGGUUUAAUAGGCAAAAUUUUCUUCCCUAAUGGCACAUAAAAUAAUGGUGUAGCUUAUAAUAGAUGCAUCUUAAAUUUGAUGAGAUAUGGCAUUUUCCAAAAAAAAACUCUGGCUCUUGAGCUUCCAACCAAAAAAUCAGAAAGUCUGAUGAUACAAGCCUUUUAUUUCUGCAAGGCAGCCAUUAGCUAGAGAGCUGAGAGGCAAUUGUCCCUUUUGAAUGGAGUAUAUGGUAUUUCAGUUUGCCGCAGUCCCCACCACUCCCUACUGCAUUACACUAGACCCUCUUCAAUCUUUCUGUUUACUCUCUGGCCUCUGUGGGCAUUUGAGUCUGUCACCCUUGAAAAGAUGGGUUCAGUGUUGCCUGGUUGGGAAACUAUGAUCCACAUAUGGCCCCAGCAGCAAAGAUUUAGCCUCUGGUUACUUCUUUUCCUGGACUUGGCAGGAGGGGAGAGAAGGGCAGCUACAGAGCAACAGCACUCAAGAGUGCCCCCUGGAAGUCAUGCUGUCUUGGCAGUAUACCUAGCCUGUUUCAUUGUUAGCUCACUGACUGGCCUCCCAGCCAAAUAACCAGACAGCUACCUCCAGCCACUAAAUGCCUGUAACACUUGUCUUAUGAGUGUCACAGAGAAGUCCAGGCACGGCUAAAACUGAGCAGAAAAUGCAGCCCAGGCUCAGUUGAAAUUCCUGCUCCCCGCGCAUCUAUUCACCCAUUUGCCAAUUUCUGCUGAGUGCUGCUAAUGUCAGGCUGCAGGCAAGGCGAUGGGGUGUGAAAAUGAAAUGCAUUGUCUAUAGAGGAGAAGCAGGCACAGAAAAUGAUAUGGCAUGGAGUAAGUGUCCCAAGACAAGGAGAGAGGUGACAGGAGAAAGUCCGUCACAUGACCAUACCUAGCUGCAAGGGAGCCUGGGAGAUGUGUCUAAGCUGUGUGUCCAGGAGGAACAGGACGCAGGACUUUGUCACUGCCUCAGAAGGUUAGGAUGCGUUUGGAGUAGAACCAGAGUCUGGCGAGGUUUCCUGAGGUUGUAAGAGGCAAGGACAGUAUCUUCUGUACUAGGAUUAUAGACUGGACUUUGGACACGGCGUUGCCAUGACUGCUCCAAGCAUCCGAGGAAACUGGCUGAGACUGGAGGUACCGAGGAGGGUGGAGGCUGCAGGCUGAAGACAUCAUCUGAACCCUGGAAGUGCCCCCAACAGGAGCCAAGAAAUUCCCUUUCCUGCCUCUGCCAGUUGCAGUUGGGGUCUGUCCUUUGAAACGCAGAGUCCUGACAAGUGCAGAGGGAUCAGGUGCACGAAGUUGUGACAGAUGUCAGACCCGAGCAGGACGCAUCAAGGGAUGCGGGAGCGCCAAGAAGGAGGAAGUAGAGAGCAGCCCAGGAUGGGAGCCCUGGAAGCGCUUCACGGCGGAGGCAGCAUCUGAGGUGGACCUUGAAGGCAGCGGGAUAGUGCCAUGUGCCGUAGCAGAGUGAUGCUUGGCAUCCUUUAAGCAUCAGGAUCCCCCCCAGCCUCCAGCCCGGGGACUGCAGUUUCCGUCGAGUCACCGAGUGUGACGUGUGGAGGGAGCAAGGGCCUGGCUUCCAGCGGCAGCCUCCACCACUGGUUAGUCCUGAGACCUUGGACACGUCACAUUCCCUCCCCCAACCUGUUUUCUCAUCUAUAAAAUAGAAAUAUUGGUGCUACCUCACACAGCUGGCGAGUGUUACAUGAGACACCUGUUAAAUGGCCAGCACAUAGCUCAUCCUGGUGGCACCAGGGAGAGUAAUGCUCUACAGAAAGAAAGAUGCUGAAGCAUUCACCAUUUUCAAGAACACAGAAGACUAUUUCUCUCCCCAGAAAGUCCUGAAGUGACAGAGCAGCUCUGCUCUGCAAUGUAAUCCAGGGACCGGGGUGCUGGCCCUCUGGGGCGGUUGCCUGCAUGCCUACAGGUGAGACCUCACCUCCUCUGGGUAGCAGCCAAAUGGCAGGGGAGGAGAGUGUGGAGCAGGCAUCCCAAACGUCUUCAGACCUCAAAAUGGAAGCAACAAGGUGGGCGGGGCACAGAGACUUUCUGGGCAGCCACAUCCCGGUUCCGACUCCAUUGCUCUGGAAGAAGAGAAUAAAUUUUGGUGGAUGCUAACACAGACCCUCCACAUAGGGUUUCAAUAAAUAGUUGCCGUCA